CAGGCUUAACACAUGCAAGUCGAGGGGUAGAAGUCUUCGGGCUUUGAGACCGGCGCACGGGUGCGUAACGCGUAUGCAAUCUGCCUUUCACAGAGGGAUAGCCCAGAGAAAUUUGGAUUAAUACCUCAUAGCAUUACAGGAUGGCAUCAUCCUGCAAUUAAAGUCACAACGGUGAAAGAUGAGCAUGCGUCCCAUUAGCUAGUUGGUAAGGUAACGGCUUACCAAGGCGACGAUGGGUAGGGGUCCUGAGAGGGAGAUCCCCCACACUGGUACUGAGACACGGACCAGACUCCUACGGGAGGCAGCAGUGAGGAAUAUUGGUCAAUGGACGCAAGUCUGAACCAGCCAUGCCGCGUGCAGGAUGACGGUCCUAUGGAUUGUAAACUGCUUUUGCACAGGAAGAAACACUCCGACGUGUCGGAGCUUGACGGUACUGUGAGAAUAAGGAUCGGCUAACUCCGUGCCAGCAGCCGCGGUAAUACGGAGGAUCCAAGCGUUAUCCGGAAUCAUUGGGUUUAAAGGGUCCGUAGGCGGUCUUGUAAGUCAGUGGUGAAAGCCCAUCGCUCAACGGUGGAACGGCCAUUGAUACUGCAGGACUUGAAUUAUUGGGAAGUAACUAGAAUAUGUAGUGUAGCGGUGAAAUGCUUAGAGAUUACAUGGAAUACCAAUUGCGAAGGCAGGUUACUACCAAUUUAUUGACGCUGAUGGACGAAAGCGUGGGUAGCGAACAGGAUUAGAUACCCUGGUAGUCCACGCCGUAAACGAUGGAUACUAGCUGUU
RNAcentral lists this ribosomal RNA (780 nucleotides) under Flavobacterium succinicans. RNAcentral's name for it is "bacterial SSU rRNA". It matches the Rfam family "Bacterial small subunit ribosomal RNA", at positions 43 to 824 of the family's 1533-position model. The record is from RNAcentral. Lineage: Bacteria; Pseudomonadati; Bacteroidota; Flavobacteriia; Flavobacteriales; Flavobacteriaceae.